GGGGCGGCGGGGCUUACACAUGCAAGUCGAACGAUGAAGACUGGUGCUUGCACUGGUUGGAUUAGUGGCGAACGGGUGAGUAAUACGUGAGUAACCUGCCUUUGACUCUGGGAUAAGCCUGGGAAACUGGGUCUAAUACCGGAUAUGACAAGGAACCGCAUGGUUUUUUGUGGAAAGGGUUUGUACUGGUUUUAGAUGGGCUCACGGCCUAUCAGCUUGUUGGUGAGGUAAUGGCUCACCAAGGCGACGACGGGUAGCCGGCCUGAGAGGGUGACCGGCCACACUGGGACUGAGACACGGCCCAGACUCCUACGGGAGGCAGCAGUGGGGAAUAUUGCACAAUGGGCGCAAGCCUGAUGCAGCGACGCCGCGUGAGGGAUGACGGCCUUCGGGUUGUAAACCUCUUUCAGCAGGGAAGAAGCGAAAGUGACGGUACCUGCAGAAGAAGCGCCGGCUAACUACGUGCCAGCAGCCGCGGUAAUACGUAGGGCGCGAGCGUUGUCCGGAAUUAUUGGGCGUAAAGAGCUUGUAGGCGGUUUGUUGCGUCUGCUGUGAAAGACCGGGGCUUAACCCCGGUAUUGCAGUGGGUACGGGCAGACUAGAGUGCAGUAGGGGAGACUGGAAUUCCUGGUGUAGCGGUGAAAUGCGCAGAUAUCAGGAGGAACACCGAUGGCGAAGGCAGGUCUCUGGGCUGUAACUGACGCUGAGAAGCGAAAGCAUGGGGAGCGAACAGGAUUAGAUACCCUGGUAGUCCAUGCCGUAAACGUUGGGCACUAGGUGUGGGGGACAUUCCACGUUUUCCGCGCCGUAGCUAACGCAUUAAGUGCCCCGCCUGGGGAGUACGGCCGCAAGGCUAAAACUCAAAGGAAUUGACGGGGGCCCGCACAAGCGGCGGAGCAUGCGGAUUAAUUCGAUGCAACGCGAAGAACCUUACCAAGGCUUGACAUAUACUGGACCGCCUCAGAGAUGGGGUUUCCCUUCGGGGCUGGUAUACAGGUGGUGCAUGGUUGUCGUCAGCUCGUGUCGUGAGAUGUUGGGUUAAGUCCCGCAACGAGCGCAACCCUCGUUCUAUGUUGCCAGCACGUUAUGGUGGGGACUCAUAGGAGACUGCCGGGGUCAACUCGGAAGAAAGGUGGGGGAUGACGUCAAAUCAUCAUGCCCCUUAUG
Molecule: ribosomal RNA, 1167 nt
Filed under: Rothia sp. (in: high G+C Gram-positive bacteria)
Lineage: Bacteria; Bacillati; Actinomycetota; Actinomycetes; Micrococcales; Micrococcaceae
Description: bacterial SSU rRNA
Rfam family: Bacterial small subunit ribosomal RNA
Source: RNAcentral